This 253-nucleotide ribosomal RNA is filed under the name uncultured bacterium. RNAcentral describes it as "partial 16S ribosomal RNA". It matches the Rfam family "Bacterial small subunit ribosomal RNA", at positions 524 to 776 of the family's 1533-position model. The record is from RNAcentral.
UACGUAGGGUGCAAGCGUUGUCCGGAAUUAUUGGGCGUAAAGAGCUUGUAGGCGGUUUGUCGCGUCUGCUGUGAAAUUUCGGGGCUCAACCCCGAACUUGCAGUGGGUACGGGCAGACUAGAGUGUGGUAGGGGAGACUGGAAUUCCUGGUGUAGCGGUGAAAUGCGCAGAUAUCAGGAGGAACACCGAUGGCGAAAGCAGGUAACUGGACUAUUACUGACACUCAGCUGCGAAAGCUAGGGGAGCAAACAGG